RNAcentral lists this transfer RNA (72 nucleotides) under Lactarius hatsudake. RNAcentral's name for it is "tRNA-Arg". It matches the Rfam family "tRNA". Rfam says of the family: Transfer RNA (tRNA) molecules are approximately 80 nucleotides in length. Their secondary structure includes four short double-helical elements and three loops (D, anti-codon, and T loops). The record is from RNAcentral. Lineage: Eukaryota; Fungi; Basidiomycota; Agaricomycetes; Russulales; Russulaceae.
AGGGUUAAAAGUUAAUUGGUUUAACAGAAAUCUCCUAAAUUUCUUCAUGGAGUUCGAUUCUCCUUAGCUCUU